GUAAGUUAUACCAGUCAGCACAGAGACCAUAUGUUAUUUUGUCCUGCAGCGUAAUUUCAGGAUUUGGUAAAGCUGAGCACAGUAUUGGUGCUAAAUAGGAUAUUCUUAUCAGCGUGCUCCUGCUGACAGUGGUGUUUCAGUGUUGUGCAGUGAGCUAUGUCAAGGAGUAGAUCUGACCAGAAGCCAGCCUGCCACAAAGAACAGUUGUUUUCAACUAGCAAGCUUCUUGGUCCCCUGCCCUAAAAACAUCUGUAAGUCUUCAUGAACUGUAACGUGAGCACAGAAUUGGUGCAGGAUGCUUCCAUCACUGUGAUUCAGGAACAGGCUGCGCUUACUGCUGUGAAAUUAUAGAGACAAGUUAGAGGUGGCUCUUGUUGUUUUUGGCACUCUUACAUAUUUCUCUCAGUAGAUUCCUUGCUGUAGAAGUGAAGACUGUUUGGGGGAGCCCUAUUUUUUUUUAUGUUUGUUUGGUUACAAUGAAUCUUUUCAUUGGUAAAACUUACUCUAACUGAUUAGUUGAACUGCUGAGUAGAAAAGCCAAACGCUCAAGUGCGUGUAAAAACGUUAUUGAGUAGGCUCUUCAGAAAAUAAGCACCUCCCAAAACCUUGAGUGACCAGCCUGUGAAGGCAGAUUUUGGGAGUGGGAAAAAGCAGGGGUCUUGGGACUCUUCAGUCGUAUGUAGGGGAGAGGAGUUUUUCUUCCUUUCAGUGCCAGCAAUACCAAGCGUUAAUUUUCUUGCCCACUCCCUCCCUGUAGUGCCCAUGUAUCCUUCUAAUAAAACAUCAGGUCUUCAAUUCCUCAGCUCUGCAUAGGGUACUGCUGGCAGGAGCCUUGGCCUUGCUUGCAUGGCAGCUCUGCAUCGUAGUAUGGCCUCUGGGAAGUAGGCUGAUUGUUGUAAAUGAAUCUACCACACGUUUAAUUUGUGCAGCAAAAUAACUUUUACCAGUGUAUGGAGAUUUGCAGUUUUGCUUACAUUCUGCUUGUUUUCUUUCUCUUGCAGGAUCUUGUUCCUUCUCCACCUUCAAUUCAGUUCCAAGGACGCCAAGGGAUCAGUUAACAGAUCCAGUUUUCUAUAUAUGCAUGCGGUGCUUCUGCAGAGAAAGCAAGGAAGAGAUGAGAGAAGGAUGGAUGAAGUCUUAAAGAUGGCGAAAGGAACAUUUGACUUCUGAAGUAUCUGGACCAUAAUGUGUGGUACCAUCUGAAGAAGCUCGAGGGUGAUGAGGAAAGGCAAGAUGUGGAUCAUUUAGAUGGUAGGAAUUAGCUUUUGAGAAAUACCUUGUAAUUAAACAUUUUGGCUUACAUGUUCUCAGUCAGCGUAGAAGCUGUGUUGUUCUAGAUACAAUAACUGAGGAAUUUCAGUAUUGCCAACUGACUUUUCACUGUAAUGCAGAGUGGGGAUAAGUUUUAACAAACAGCUACGAAUAAACAAGCUGCUGUUUUUAGCCCAGUAUACAGCCCACAUUAGCACUGAGUUCUAAAUAGGCAUGCUUUCCUUGCGUGGUUUCACUCUUUUACUUAUUUUACU
RNAcentral lists this long non-coding RNA (1526 nucleotides) under Pavo cristatus (Indian peafowl). Its description in RNAcentral is "lncRNA (ENSPSTG00000010149.1)". Lineage: Eukaryota; Metazoa; Chordata; Aves; Galliformes; Phasianidae. The record is from RNAcentral.